Molecule: ribosomal RNA, 700 nt
Filed under: uncultured bacterium
Lineage: Bacteria
Description: bacterial SSU rRNA
Rfam family: Bacterial small subunit ribosomal RNA
Source: RNAcentral
AGUUUGAUCCUGGCUCAGGAUGAACGCUAGCUACAGGCUUAACACAUGCAAGUCGCGGGGCAGCAUGGGGGUUGCUUGCAACCCCUGAUGGCGACCGGCGCACGGGUGAGUAACGCGUAUCCAACCUGCCCUUCACCACGGGAUAACCCGGCGAAAGUCGGACUAAUACCGUAUGUUGUCCAUUGGCGGCAUCCGAUUUGGACGAAAGGCUUAGCGGUGAGGGAUGGGGAUGCGUCCGAUUAACUUGACGGCGGGGUAACGGCCCACCGUGGCUACGAUCGGUAGGGGUUCUGAGAGGAAGGUCCCCCACACUGGAACUGACACACGGUCCAGACUCCUACGGGAGGCAGCAGUGAGGAAUAUUGGUCAAUGGGCGGAAGCCUGAACCAGCCAAGUAGCGUGCAGGAUGACGGCCCUAUGGGUUGUAAACUGCUUUUAUGCGGGGAUAAAGGGGCCCACGUGUGGGCUUUUGCAGGUACCGCAUGAAUAAGGACCGGCUAAUUCCGUGCCGGCAGCCGCGGUAAUACGGAAGGUCCGGGCGUUAUCCGGAUUUAUUGGGUUUAAAGGGAGCGUAGGCCGCCCCUUAAGCGUGUUGUGAAAUGCGGGUGCUCAACAUCCGACUUGCAGCGCGAACUGGGGGGCUUGAGUGCGCCGAACGUAGGCGGAAUUCGUGAUGUAGCGGUGAAAUGCUUAGAUAUCA